This is a long non-coding RNA of Cydia amplana, 569 nucleotides long. RefSeq lists it as uncharacterized. NCBI's taxonomy places the organism in Eukaryota, Metazoa, Arthropoda, Insecta, Lepidoptera, Tortricidae. The record is from RefSeq and is a predicted model, not a curated record. The transcript has 2 exons.
UUUUUCAAUUGCGCUAAUGCAUUUGAUGAAAUUAUUUCACUGAAGUACCGUAAACGGCCCCAGAAAAGUAAUAUCAUAUAGUCUUUGUUAGCCUGUCAUGUAAACGUCGAGUCAGCAAUGGGCAUUGGUUUUAUUGCAACCUUUUCUUUAAUAAAACCUCUCUCGAACUCUAGCAAUGAGACUUUCAUCCACUUUCAUCCCACGACGUGACCAUUGUCAUGUAAAUCUGAUUUAGAAAGAAAUGCAAACUUAGCACGGACGGAUGAAUAUUUCAAAUUAUGUUGUGCGAGUAUAGUUUUAGUAGAACCUUAUUUAUUUAAGCUUAAAGUCUAAUUUUCAGAAACAAUGCCACUGUGUGAUAUAGAAAUUGUAGCCAGAUAUUUCUGAAUCGCUAGGUGGCGUUGCCGACAGAUGCCGAGGGCGAAUUUUUCAUCGCGAGGUUGACGCGAGAAUCGGGUUUUAUUUUUCAGGUAAACAACUUUGGUGCAGUUUCGUGCAGCGUGCAGUUUUCAAGUGCGCUGGCUGCAGCGGAAGUCAACUAUGAAAUCUUUUUUGUAAAAUAAAAUGUA